CUUUUGUUUCUUCUCUUAUCUAAAGGGUCAGAUAAUUUUUUUUUUAAAGUCAGAUUGUUAAGCGUGUGGAGAAAACAUGAUCCACUUUAAUGAUCCUGAAACUGAAACUCGAAGCAUUUAGUGCAUUUGAUUUUUACUCAACCCCAGUGCAGCCAAUCAAUGCCAUCAACGAAUACGUGAACGCAUGCAUGCAUUUCUUGGAAUGAUUUGCUAAUAGGUUUGCUUCGUUAUGAGCGGGUUGUUGGAAGAUGCAAAUGCUGUGGUGGAAAUGCACUACGCAUUAGUCGAGUCUCGAAAGCUAUUUGAAAGAGAUGGAGGCUUUAAGUAUGGAAAGCACGAAUUCCUAUUCCUAUUCAACAGUUAUGUGAAAGGAAACUUCAUCUCUGGCUAAACAAGACCUUGAGCAGACACCUGUUUGGAAUAUGCAGCUGAUUUGAAGAAUCGUUCUUCGUUACUGCAAGGUUCCCUUCGAAGGUUAACUGCAACCAUUCGAAAUCUGAAUCUCUGGAGAUGCCUUUCCCGAUUUUUAACGAAGAGGAGUUGAUUAUUCUAGUGCAUCCACUGCUCAUCAGCAUUUGAUCGGUACAUUUUGUCUUAUACUUGUAAUGUCUGAAAUAUUUUCUAUGUUUAUGGGAGUAGUUUGCCAACCACCGUGAUAUACGGCAUUAAACCUUCUAAACGGAAUAUAUUUAGAUUACCCACUUAGUUAAUAUGUACGAUAAAUCAUGAUUACAUUCCGGAGUUAGGAUAUAAAAAUUUGAAAUCGACAAUGAUCUCAAACAUUGUCCUUAAUAAAAAUGUGAAUAUUUGUUAUAGGAUGCAUUUUGAAGUAUCUAGUAAAAACACUUUAAAUUCAUAUGGUGAAUAAAAAUUUCAAGCUGCUGAAAUCUGGAAGGCAAGAAUGCUUUAAGUCAUUGUUGUAGCCAUAAAUUUCGCUCCAAGUCAAAUUCAUUCGUAUAUCUACGGAUUCGGAUCGUUUAAACAGAUCUGAACGUUUUUGUAAUAUUGAAUGUACAGACUCAUAAUCGAUGCCUUAAAAUUGCCAUCGGAAAACGACCGGUUGCAGUAGGUUAAGUUAAAUGAGGGAUUCAAGAGAGCAUUUAUUAAAAUGUUUAUAUUCAGGACUGUACAUGCAUGAAUUCAAAAAGAUCUGUAUAAUUUGUUUAACAAGAACGCCAAGACUAACAUUUCAUUUAAAAUAUUUAAAGUGAGCUGGAGCGUAGAAUUCUUGGCGAAAACAACGGACUUCGCUUUAUUUUUGAGAUUCAUAUAAAUUUAAAUCUGGUGUUUAAUCUAACCAAUAUGGUGAAGCUUCUCCAGUCUCGUCAUUUAAAUGGGCCUUAUCUGUGAUGGAUCAUUUUUAUGGAAUAUUCUUCAUGGACAUAUUCAGAAAGAUUAUCAGUGAUAUGCACUUGGUCUUGUCUUCUAAUAUCAAGUAGGAUCGGUUCCAGUAAGUGGCAUUGAAGAAUUUUUCUCGCUCCAAUGUUAAGGUGCUAAGUUGAGCUUCUUUAUGAUCGGAGACAUGGGCAGAGGAAUAAGGUAGUUGCGAAAUAGUAGAAAUGGGAGAUUAAUUCACUGUAGGCGGUUAUUUUUACAGAAAUGAAUAAAAAUACCGCGUUAUUUCGGUCUUAAAUAAGCAAACUAACUAUAUUUAAUCUAAAUGGUCUAAUAAUUGGUUCGACUAUCGUAUUCGUUUGAAUGAGGAAGUUAAAAGCCUCAAUCUCCGCCUCGUGUGAAAUGACUAGA
Molecule: long non-coding RNA, 1746 nt
Organism: Argiope bruennichi
Lineage: Eukaryota; Metazoa; Arthropoda; Arachnida; Araneae; Araneidae
Exons: 3
Source: RefSeq, a predicted model, not a curated record